UAGGGAAUCUUCCACAAUGGACGCAAGUCUGAUGGAGCAACGCCGCGUGAGUGAAGAAGGUUUUCGGAUCGUAAAGCUCUGUUGUUGGUGAAGAAGGAUAGAGGCAGUAACUGGUCUUUAUUUGACGGUAAUCAACCAGAAAGUCACGGCUAACUACGUGCCAGCAGCCGCGGUAAUACGUAGGUGGCAAGCGUUGUCCGGAUUUAUUGGGCGUAAAGCGAGCGCAGGCGGAAUGAUAAGUCUGAUGUGAAAGCCCACGGCUCGACCGUGGAACUGCAUCGGAAACUGUCAUUCUUGAGUGCAGAAGAGGAGAGUGGAAUUCCAUGUGUAGCGGUGGAAUGCGUAGAUAUAUGGAAGAACACCAGUGGCGAAGGCGGCUCUCUGGUCUGCAACUGACGCUGAGGCUCGAAAGCAUGGGUAGCGAACAGG
RNAcentral lists this ribosomal RNA (429 nucleotides) under bacterium. Its description in RNAcentral is "partial 16S ribosomal RNA". It matches the Rfam family "Bacterial small subunit ribosomal RNA", at positions 355 to 776 of the family's 1533-position model. The record is from RNAcentral.